Molecule: long non-coding RNA, 575 nt
Filed under: Homo sapiens (human)
Lineage: Eukaryota; Metazoa; Chordata; Mammalia; Primates; Hominidae
Description: HSALNT0034230
Source: RNAcentral
AACACCACUUUGCAAGCAUAAAUUCCCUAAUCAUAGUUGCCCUUAAUAAUAAUAAUAAUGCCCUAAAAUAUAAUCAUCUACUAGAUAUGAUGUGGGCAUUGAGCUAAACAUUUUUUACAUCAAACUCAAUCUCAGAAAGACUGGUGGUGUUAGCCACAUUGUCGGCCAGUGAAACUGAGGCUCGAAGGAGAAAUAACUUGCUCAGGUCAUACAGUUAGUUUGUAGCUGAGUUGUGACUAAAACCCAGGUCUCUCGGAUUCCAAAGCUUGUGCUCAGAACCCCUGCAGUGUACAAAGUACCCAAAUAGUGCCCAUUACAGAUCAACUUCCGAGAACUGGGUCUUGCCUUCCUAGAGUGGAGUGGUGUUUCCUCCUUCACUCAUUGUUCAUUUCAUAUAUAUAAAACAGAACAUGAUCAUAUUUCAAUACGUAACUUCUGUACAACCAAAAAUUAAAACACCACAUUAAAAUAAAUGAGAAAAACAUGGUAUUUCAUUUGCAAUACUUGAAAAAAUGUUAACAUUCUUAAUCAUAAAUGAGCUUUUAGAAAUCAGUAACAGGCUAACAUUACAAGGG